This 660-nucleotide ribosomal RNA is filed under the name uncultured bacterium. RNAcentral describes it as "bacterial SSU rRNA". It matches the Rfam family "Bacterial small subunit ribosomal RNA", at positions 202 to 849 of the family's 1533-position model. The record is from RNAcentral.
AAAAGAUGGUUCUGCUAUCACUCUUGGAUGGACCUGCGGUGCAUUAGCUAGUUGGUAAGGUAACGGCUUACCAAGGCAAUGAUGCAUAGCCGAGUUGAGAGACUGAUCGGCCACAUUGGGACUGAGACACGGCCCAAACUCCUACGGGAGGCAGCAGUAGGGAAUCUUCCACAAUGGACGCAAGUCUGAUGGAGCAACGCCGCGUGAGUGAAGAAGGGUUUCGGCUCGUAAAGCUCUGUUGGUAGUGAAGAAAGAUAGAGGUAGUAACUGGCCUUUAUUUGACGGUAAUUACCUAGAAAGUCACGGCUAACUACGUGCCAGCAGCCGCGGUAAUACGUAGGUGGCAAGCGUUGUCCGGAUUUAUUGGGCGUAAAGCGAGUGCAGGCGGUUCAAUAAGUCUGAUGUGAAAGCCUUCGGCUCAACCGGAGAAUUGCACCAGAAACUGUUGAACUUGAGUGCAGAAGAGGAGAGUGGAACUCCAUGUGUAGCGGUGGAAUGCGUAGAUAUAUGGAAGAACACCAGUGGCGAAGGCGGCUCUCUGGUCUGCAACUGACGCUGAGGCUCGAAAGCAUGGGUAGCGAACAGGAUUAGAUACCCUGGUAGUCCAUGCCGUAAACGAUGAGUGCUAAGUGUUGGGAGGUUUCCGCCUCUCAGUGCUGC